UCCCAUGUCCAGGACCCAAAGACGAUCGCAUUUAUCCGCCCAGAUGCGAAAUACUGAUACAACUUCCGGUACCUUACCAUCGCCAUGUCGAUGUGCCUCCCACGAAGGAUAGGGAUUAAGAAGUGGUGACUCUUUCGUAUCUAAUGAUGCUUACGAAGAUCAGGAAGGAAUUGUGUAUGAAGCUGGAAUGGAUAUAUAAUUCGUUUCCAAGAAACGAUGUCAUCCAUCUACUAAUCAGAUGAGUUUCAGCAGCCAUUUUCAAAACCACCAUUUUGGAAAAAAAGAAGUUUUUUUCAAGUAAUUUCAUAUAUAUGCUUUCAUAUGUAAAAA
Neodiprion fabricii is the source of this 330-nucleotide long non-coding RNA. RefSeq lists it as uncharacterized. The record is from RefSeq and is a predicted model, not a curated record. The transcript has 3 exons. NCBI's taxonomy places the organism in Eukaryota, Metazoa, Arthropoda, Insecta, Hymenoptera, Diprionidae.